Long non-coding RNA from Diabrotica virgifera virgifera (western corn rootworm), 556 nucleotides. RefSeq lists it as uncharacterized. The record is from RefSeq and is a predicted model, not a curated record. NCBI's taxonomy places the organism in Eukaryota, Metazoa, Arthropoda, Insecta, Coleoptera, Chrysomelidae. The transcript has 2 exons.
GGUGGGAUCACGAUCAGUAGAAUGGUAGAAUGCUGACGUCACAAAAAUAAUUCUACAAUCGACAAUUUUGGUAUCACGUUAACACGCUUGGGAAAGUAGAAUCGGUGCUCGGCAAUGUUCGGAUAUUCUACUAGCCAUGUUAAAAAUAUCGCUUCUUCUUCUUAAAAAUAUUGCUGUUUGACGUGUGGUUGUCUUUAUUUUGUGGUGGUUGUAUUCAAAAAGCUAACCUAAAGAAAGAUUAAAUUUGUGAUUAUUUUCAAUUUGUAUAUUUUUGUCUUGGGUUGUUUGGAACUAUUUUAUUAGAAAUCACUAAAUUUUUAAAUUUUACCUGUGACUAGAGAACAUUGUUAUAUUAAGGUAUUUUUAUUCUUGGUAUGAAACAAUGUUAAGACAAUACUGUGUGCUUUUUCAGUCCUAUGAAAGAAAAUGUUUUGGAUGUAAUAGAGAAGUACUACAACUUUGUUAUGAAGAUUUGUCUUUAUGUUAUUUUUAUAAUGUUCAUGGAUUAUAUUUGUUUUUAUGUUUUCUUCAGUUUAAAUAAAGUUUGUUUUACCCA